Loxodonta africana (African savanna elephant) is the source of this 9812-nucleotide long non-coding RNA. RefSeq lists it as uncharacterized. The record is from RefSeq and is a predicted model, not a curated record. The transcript has 3 exons. Lineage: Eukaryota; Metazoa; Chordata; Mammalia; Proboscidea; Elephantidae.
UCUCGCGCUGGCGUUCCGCCUGGUCAAAGCGCAGGCGCGAGCCUGCUGGCCGCAGCGUCGGCGCCCGCUUCUGACGUCAUCCGCACGCGCCGAAUGGGAAAGGGGCGGGGAAAAGGUUGCACGCUGGAGCGGUAGGGUGAGGUCCACGUGGGUCGAUUGUACUGUGUUGGGUGGGAGGAAAGGGCUUUUCAGGACUGUCUUGGUCGUGGAAGAGUCUGAGGGCUUCGCUGAGGCAAAGAAAAUAUUUGGAAGUGGGUUCAGUCGAAGGAAGAGUUCUACCAAUCCUUAUUUCAUGUGCAGUGCCGUAGAUUUCAAGCUGACGAAUAGUGGCUUGUGUGUUUUAAAUUCGAACAAAAAACUUUCUCCAAAAUGAAUUACUCAUUUCGAGGAGGUACUUCCGCCGCUACACUUCGUUACAUUUUUCAUAGCGUGCACAAAGUGCUGGUAAUGUAGUAGGCACUGCUUUGAUUACCUUAUGUUUACUUGGGAGGCCUGGUGGCGCAGCGGUUGGAGAGCUAUGACUGCUAACCGAGAGGUCGGCAGUUGAAAUGCGGUUCAUAUCCACUAACCGCUCUUUGGAGACCCUCUGGGGCAGUUCUACUCUGUACUAUGGGGUCGCUAAGAGUCGGAAGCCACUGGAUGGCAACGGGUGUGUUAACUUGAUUACAUCUUAAUCCUGUGCGAUGGGUCUUGUUCCUAUUUUACAGAUGGAUAAACAAUUAUCUUUCUCAAAGCCACACAGCUAGUAAGCGGUGUAGUUAGGAUCUGAACCCAGGCAGUGUGACUCCAGAUCCGCGGCUAUUAUCCACUAUGUGUUUCUCAGCUAAGGGCAUGUUGUGUGCCAUCGAGUGGAUGCUGACUCAGCGACUUUGUAUGACAGAAUUGCCCCAUAGGGUUUCCUAGGCUAUACUCUUUACUGGAGCAGAUCACUCGGUCUUUUCUACUGCAGAAGGGCUGAUGGGUUUGAACCACCCGCCUUUCGGUUAGCAGCCCAGUACUUAACCAUUGUGCUACCAGAGCUCCUUCAUGCUAAGGUCGUAGUCACCUAGAGAAUGUCAAUGGCUGAAGGUAGUUUAGGAUGAAAAGUCUUAAGCUAGGAGUCCAGGAGGAUCCGGAUUUUGAUCUCUUUCUUGGCUGUGUGACCAGGUCCAGAUCUUUUUGCCCUCUCUGAGCUUCUAUAUACCUCUCCCAUCAGUGAGGCAGGCAACAAAAUCUACGUUCACCUACACUUUUCUUCAGUGUGGUCUUGCUGCUCCCCCAACAAAAGGUAGAGUCUAAUUCUCCUUCUGUUGAAUCUGGGUGGGCUGUAACCGCUUUGCCCAAUGGAGUGACAGAAGGCCGGAGCCCUGGUAGCACAACGGUUAAGUGCUUGGCUACUAACUGAAAGGUUGGUGGUUCAAACCCACCCAGUGGCAGCAUGGGAGAAGGACCUGCAAUUUGCUUCUGUAAAGAUUAAGCCCAGAAAACCCUGUGGGUCAGUUCUACCCUAUCACAUGGGGUCACUCUGAGUUGGAAUUAACUCUACAGCACCCAACAGCCCUGAGGCCAUCAUGCUGUGAGAAAGCGGACCCACGCAGAUAGGCCAUGUGUGGAUCCUCUAGUAUACAGUCCUUGUUUCGGAGUCAACCAGACAUGUGAGUGAAAAAGCCUUCAGAUGAUUCCAGCUCCCAGACAUUGAUUCACCCCUAGUCUUUGAGUUUUUCUAGCUGAGACUUAGACAAUGUGGAGCACAGGCAAGCCAUCCCCACUGUGCCCUGCCCAAAUUCCUGACCUCCAGAAUCUGUGAACAGAGUAAAAUUGUUUCAAACCACCGGAUUUUGAAGCCAUUUUUAUUUAGCAGUAAUAACUAGAACAGGUGAGAACCUGUGCUAUAUUUAGAGUGGAGCAUGUGAACUAAUUUAUUAGCAGAGGCUCAUUUAUUAACACCUGGCUGGGUUUAACCAGGUCUGCUCCCCUGAUACAAGGGGGUGUGUUUGUGUUUGAGUGUUUGCCACUGGGUCUGCUGCCUUUGGGUGCUGGCCUCUUAUGAGCUAGCUUCUGCUCCAUGGUGGCCCAGUCAAUGUCUGUGUGGUUCACUGCUGCACCCAGCUCAGUGCCUGAUGCAGAGCAGGCACUCGAUAAAGUUUUGUUAAAUGAAUGAAUAAAUUACAGAAGCGAAAGUGGGCUAGCUAGGAGUCUGGUUAUUUUGGGCCUGUUAAAUUUACACUCUUCCUGGGCUUAUUUCUGACAUUCUACCACAUCAGCCCAAGCUGUGAAUUCCCUUUAAAAGGGAAAAUCCAGUUGCAGCUGACAUCGUAACAAGAAUUGAAACAGAUCCAGCUUAAAUAGCUCUGUUUCUAAGCCUGAUAUCUGGGAAUACUGAUGAGCAUAUUUAACUCAGAAAGGUCUCUUUGCCAGAGGCCAAAAAAAAAAAUAACUUGGUAGUGAGUUGGCUAUUCUUAGAGCUAAAGGUCCCAGAGGGUUGGGCCUAGGCCCAUGCUGGGAUUUUAUUACAGCCUUCAGCUCAGCAUCAUGUAUAACUAGGUUCAUAAACAUUAUGUCUAAUUGAUCUUGAGCUCGGGGGAGAAAGUGAAGCCCGUAGUACUCUUCUCCCCCAUUACCCUAGGCUCUGUUUCUUUCCCCUCUUCUGGCUAACCCUACAGUAUUAGCUGAUAAGGAGCUGAAGUUAUAUAACAAUCAAUUACGAAGUGUUAAAGACUUAUACCACAAACAGAUUUUACAGUGACAAGGUCAAGUAUACAAAAAUGAGUUUGUCUGGAACUAAACUUGAUUUUCAUUUUCAUUAGGACAGGAACCAUCAGGGCUUUAUUACCACGGUAUUAUCAACACCUGGAAACCCUGGUGGCAUAGUAGUUAAGAGCUAUGGCUGCUAGUAAAAAGAUCGGCAGUUCAGAUCCACCAGGCUCUCCUUAGAAACUCUAUGGGGCAGUUCUACUCUGUCCUAUAAGGUUGCUAUGAGCUGGAAGCAACUCGAUGGCAGUGGGUUUGAUAUCAACACCUAGCACAGCGCCUGCCACCACCUGUUGUCGGUUUGGCAUACCGUGGUGGCUUGCAUGUUGCUUUGAUGCUGGAAGCUAUACCACCAGUAUUUCAAAUACCAGCAGAGUCACUCAUGGUAUACAGUUUCAGCAGAGCUUCCUGGUUAAGACAGACUAGGAAGAAAGGCCUGGCAAUCUGCUUUCUAAAAUCAACCAGUGAAAACCCUAUGGAUCACAACACAACAUUGUUCGAUAUAGUGCUGGAAGAUGAGUCUCUCCGAGGCUGGAACGCCCUACAAUAGCCACAACAAUGGAUUCAAACGUACCAAUGAUCAUGAAGGUGGCGCAGGCUGGGUAGUGUUUCAUUCUGUCGUACACAAGGCCACCAUGGGUUGGGGCUGACUUGGCAACUGACAAAAUCAACAACAGCAUAGUGCCUGGCACAAUAAAUGCCAAUAAAUAUUUGGUGAAUAAAUGAUUAAAAAAAAAAAUUCAGACUUCUAAAUUGAAAUCCAGAGAGAUUAGGCAACUUGCCCAGUGUCACAUAGUUAGCAAAUGACAAGAAACUACCCUGACAAUUGUUAGUACAGGAUCCUUUCCACUAUCUCACGCAGGUUCUCUGGUAGAGUUGCUUAUGAAUUCAUUCAUUUCUUUCUUGGUCUGUCAGGGCUCUUUUGGAUGAAAGUGACCUAACUCUAAUUGCCUUAGGCAAGAAGUGGAAUGUAUAUGCUCUGAUGUCUCAAAAACCCAGUAAUAUAUGUAGCUUCGUAGCUUCAGGCAUAGCUUGAUCCAGGGGCUUAAACCGUGUCAUCAGGAAUUGAUCUCUGUCCAAUCUUUUGUCUCUGUCUUCUAAUGUGUUGGCUUAAUUUCAGAUCUCUGGAAACUGCAGGCUUGCAGCAUCCUUCACUCAUAGUCCUAGCAGUAAUGCACUCCCUGUUAUCCCUUCUGUCUGUCUUAUUGGUCAUCUUGGUUCUGGAUUGCCCACUCCUGAACUAAUCAUUGUGGUCAGGAGAAGGUGAUGCUGUGAUUGGCUAGACCUGAGCCCCAUGCCCAGCCUUGGAGCCAGUGAGAGAGUGAGCUCUCCGGGGAACGCAUGGAUUGAGAGUAGGGAAAGAAGAGUGCUCUGGUGGAAAAAUUGAGGUACCGGCAAGAACAACUCUUCUCCAUAGUAUCCUUUAAACAGUUUCUCUUCCAUCUUUGUUUGGUAGACAAAGAUGAACAUGACAGCCUUACCCCUGAGGAGUUUAUACUCUAGAGGAGGAACCAGGGGAAAUUUAAUAAGGUAUGUAUUGGGAGAGUGGUCUGCUGUGUGGCCUUGUGAUCCUCACCUGAACAACCUGAUUAGCUUUGGGCCUGGAAUAUCCUUGAUAAUGGAGGCUGGGAACUAAGCUUCCCUCUGUCUCAGUUUCUUCUUUUUUCUUAUCAGGGCAACGCCUUCCCUGUUUGGAGACUGAUGAGUACUUCUUUGUUCUGCUUAUGUGUAUGGGUCACAUAGCACUUGGCCAACCCCACUGCUCUGUUUUCUGCAGGUAUCCUUGACCUGUAGCACAAGAGGGUAGCGUGAAGACCACCAGCAGUGUGUUGGCUGCCGACUGAGACCCACUGGCCGUGAAGGAUCGACACUCCCUGUUGAAGAUGAUCUUGCUCUGUGUCUUUUCUCUGUCUUUUGCAGAUGUAAUUGGUGAAGUUAAGAUGAAGAUUGGAUGGGUCCUAAAUCCAAUGACUGCUGUCCUUAUAAGAAGAGAGAAAGAGACAUAGGGAGAUAGACACACACAGGGAAGAAGUUGGCCAUGUGAAGAUGGAGGCAGAGAUUGGUGUUAUGCUCCCACAAGUCAAGGAGCCACGAGAAGCUGCAAGAGGCGAGGAAGAAUUCUUCCCUAGAGCCUUCAGAGGGAGCGCAGCCCUGUCGUCACCUUGAUUUCCACUUCUAGGAUCCAGAACCGUGAGAGAAUAAAUUUCUGUUGUUUUAAGCCACUCAGUCUGUAGUACUUUGUUACAGCAGCCCUAGGAGACUAACACACCUCCUCACCCAGUCUGUGGUACUUUGUCACAGCACUAGGAGACUACAGACCGCCUCACCCAAUCUGUGGUACUUUGUUACCGCAGCCCUAGAAGAUGACCAUACCACUUCACCCUGUUUGGUACAGGCCACCAAGAAGGGUGGCUUGGCCUUGCAGGUGAGCAGAAGCCUACCUGGGGCCCUGGAAUCACCAUUUGAAAGGGCUGUCAGAGGAUGGAGAGGGUCAUAAUUUCUCAGAGCAGCUGUCAUUGUACAAAGGACCCUGGGCCAGGUGUCAAGAAGCCUGUCAUAAGCUGGCUAUAUGGCCUUGGGCAACCCCCUUUCUUUCUAUGAGUGUUACUUUUGUCAUUUGAGAAGGGAGGGACUGAGAUUAGACAAAGCUGUGAUAACUGAGUCCUUACAAUGUGGCCUGGGCUAGUCUCAAAUCCCACUGCAGCCUUAUUUGAGGGGUGAGUAAAAUCAGGCCCAUGUUACAACUGAGGAUACUGGCUUUGGAUAAAUUAAGUAGGGAGCCCAGGCCUCACAGCUGAUAAGGAUCAGAGGCAGGAUUUGAACUCAGAUCUGUCUGACUCCAAAGCCUGUACUCUUGGCAUUCACUGUACCCCUCUUUAGAUGAUCUAUGAUUCUGCACAUCUUAUUGAACCCGUUUCUCUCCUUUUGAGAAACUGUACAAGCAGUCUCCGAUUUAUGAUGUAUUGGAGUUACAAACUGCACUUGUAACCCUCUGUGUUUUGUUUUUUCUGGUACAUCCUGUCAUUAGUAAUAUGUGCUACAUACAGUGUUGCAGUGAGUAACUUGCUGAUGUUAUCAUCCUCAGAUGUUCAGUUUUAUGAUUUACUGUUCAAAACACUGCUGUAUUUAUUUAGUUUUCUAAACUAAAUCAGAGGCUUCGGUUGCUUGAAAACAUGGAGCCAAACAGUGAUCUCUUUGCUAAAGUGGAUAGGUGGGUUUGGGAAGCAGUGACACGUUACUGUGAAAAAAUGGAAAAAGAAAAAGAGAAGGACCAUACAGAUGACUCUCACUAAUUUUCUGACUGGAAACAUCACCCAGGGAUAAUCCAGAUGACCCAGAACCUUCCACAAGUAGAGUUAUUACCACAGCUGACAAAUGCUAAUGCCAUCCAACUCUUCUCCAUCACUGGAGCACAUUUUUAUGAUUUGUGUUUUUAAUGUAUUAAAAUAGAUUUGUAAGUUUAUAUGUAAUGCUCCCAACCCCCAAAGACAAAUAAAGAUAGGAUUUAUAAUGACACUGAUAAUAAAAGGCAAUAAUAAUGAAAAGUAAACAAAAAAAAUGAGGUAUUAGACUUACAUCAGAACUAACUUAUGCUGGAAUGGUUGGAAUGGAACCCCAUCGUCAGCUGGGGACUACCUUUACAUUGAAGUGGUUAAGUGUGUGGCCUCUGGAUCCAAACUUCUCCAGUCUGAGUCUUGAUUCUACCACUUGUGAGGUUUGUGACUAUUAGAGAUUGGAUCGUGCGCCCUUGGGAGAAUGUAUAUCGAAAUCUUGGCCAUAUGCUUUUAUGUUUUAAUCAUGUGAUUAAAUCAGUUGGCCUUGGGCAGAGCAGAUUAUCUUCCAUCUAAUGUGAUGCAAUGCAACGUAAUCUAAUGUGAUGUAAUGCGGUGUAAUCACUUUCCAUAAUGUAAUCUAAUGUAAUGUAAUCGAUCAGUCAGUUGAAGUCAUACCAGUGAAGGGUGGAUCCUAAACCUAAUUACUUCUGGUUGUAAAAAGAGCAAUUAUACACAGGGGAAUGCAUACACGGGAGAAGAUAGAUGCUAUGUGAAGACCGUCUACAAGCCAAGAAACCAAAAAAGGAAUUGACAUGGCCAAGACCCUGAUUUGGAAUUUUAGCCUCCAGAGCUCUAAGGAAAUAAACUUCUGUUUCUUUAAAGUCAUCGACUAGUGAUAUUUCUGUUAUUGCAGCACUUGGUAACUAAGUGCUAACUAAAGGAAAGCCACUUCAUUUUUUGCCAUUUGUAAAAAGGUUGCUCUAAGCCAUUUAAAUGAGUUAAUAUAUAUAAGACACUUGGAAUACCACCCAGCAUAUAGGUAAGUACUUAUAUGGUUUAACUUAUUUUUUGCCUCUAAACUUUUACUGCUCCUUCUAACACAGUCUCAAAGAGCUGUAAAUUUAGACCUUUCAUAUUAUCUCCAAGGAAGAGACACAUGGGCAGGACUGAAGAACACUUUCACCAUAUACCUUACAGGUGUGUCCCAUUACUGGGACCCUUGCCUGUAGGGCACUAUGAAUUAACAUGAAUUUUAUAAAUCUUGCAAUUGUGAAUGGUACAACUAUAUUUCACUGGCCAAUUUUUUUCAGAAGUAGACCGCCAGGUCCUUCUUCCUAGUCUGUCUAUCAGUCUGGAAGCUCUGCUGAAACCCGUCCACUGGGUGACCCUGCUGGAAAUUGAAAUAUCAGUGGCAUAGCUUCCAGCAUCACAGCAACACGCAAGCCACCACAGUAUGACAAACUGACAGCCAUGACUGGACCAGUAAGCAACAUCAUGAUAAACAGAGAAAAUUUUGAAGUUGCCAAGGAUUUCAUUUUACGUGGAUCCACAAUCAACAAUCUACAAUCAUCACCCACGGAAGCAGCAGUCAAGAGGUCAAAUGAUGUAUUGGGCAAAUCUGCUGCAAAAGACCACUGUGAAGUGUUAAAAAGCAAAGAUAUCACUUUGAGGACUAAGGUGUGCCUGACCCAACCCAUGGUAUUUUUAAUUGCCUCAUAUGCAUGUAAAAGCUGGACAACUAAUAAGGAAGACUGAAGAAGAAUUGACGCAUUUGAAUUAUGGUGUUGGUGAAGAAUAUUGAGUAUACCAUGGACUGUCAGAAGAACAAACAAAUCUAUUUUGGAAGAAAUACAGCCAGAAUACUCUUGGGAAGCCAAGAUGGUGAGACUUUGUCUCAUGUACUUUGGACAUGUUAUCAGGAGGGACCAGUCCCCGGAGAAGGACAUCAUGUUUGGUAAGGUAGAGGGUCAGCAAAAAAGAGGAAGAUCCUCAAUGAGAUGGACUGACACAGUGCUUACAACAGUGGGCUCAAACACAGCAGUGAUUGUGAGGGUGGCGCAGGGCCAGGCAGCUUUUCAUUCUGUUGUACGUAGGGAUGCUGUGAGUUGGAACCAACUACACGGCACCUAACAACAAGUAUAUUGUGUUCCAUGAUAUGAGGUUAGAAGUAUUUGUUAUAUGCAGAUAUUUAAAAUAAUUUGCAAUUUUCGUAGUCUUGUUUUGGCCUUUCUUCAUUUUUAUACCUGGGCCUCUGAAAUGGACAUGACCUAAAAUGGUUUUAGGCAGUAAAAUCAUAGGAGUGAUCUACCUCAUGUUUACAGAAAGAGCAGGGAGGCAAAGACUUCCCUUUUGACAUCUUCUCUAUGUUGGUGUUGGGUAGGGUGUAGCUUUUCUUUUCUCCUAGCUUGGGUGGUGCAAAUGGUUAAGCACUCAAAAGGUUGGUGUUUCGAACCCACCCAGAGGAGCCUUGGAAGAUAGGCCUGGCGAUCUGCUUCCAAAAGGUCACAUGCUUGAAAACGCUAUGGAGCAAUUCUACUCUGCACGCAUGAGGUUGCCAUGAGUUGGAAUUAUGUCCUCCCGAAGUAUGUGUUGUAAAUUCUAACCCCUACGCCUGUGGUUAUAAUCCCAUUGGGGAAUGGGUUGUCUUUGUUAUAUUAAUGAGGCAGGGUUAGUGUUUGGGUGUAUCUUGGGUCAAUCUCUUUUGUGGCAUAAAAGAUUGAACAAGCGAGCAGUGAGAGGUGGGGAAAGAGAGAACAGUUUGCACUCAGCUACUAACCAAACCAACAGUUUGCAGUUAGCAAUGCCACAGCAGAAAGGCCUGGCAAUCUGCUUACAGUCAUAAGGCAUAAAGAUUACAGCCAAGAAACCCUAUGGAGCUCAGCCGUACCCUGUAACACAUGGGGUCGCCAUGAGUUGGCAUUGACUCCACAGCAACAGAGUUAUUACUUAUUUCUCCCCCUCCCCUCACUCCCUCCUUCCCUUACCCCCCUUCUACUCCAUACCUGUAACUGACAAAGUGUUCUGCUCAAGAAUACGAUCUCUUCUGGUUUCAGUGGAAAUAAUAUCCUAACCACGACUAGACCUGGGCCUGAUCAGAGAAAAAAGAAUGAAUGUGCCCUGUUGCCUUGGCCGUCCACCCCACAAAUAAACUCCACACCUGGGCUCAAGGAGGCCUGCGAUGGGAAAGGAGCCUCAGGCCAGGAGAGCUGUUAUUAUGAGGGUGUUUCCAUGGAGUGUGGCCUUGUACUACCUUUUGUCUCUCAAGAGAUAAAAGCAAAAGGAACCAAAGCAGAGAGUUGGGGACCUCAUACCACCAAGAAAGCAGCAUCAGGAGCAGAGCACGUACUUUGGCCAUGGGGUCCCUGCGCCUUAGAAGCUCUUCGACCAGGGGAAGAUUGAGGACAAGGACCUUCCUCCAGAGCUGACAGAGAGAGAAGGCCUUACCCUGGAGCCAAUGCCCUGAAUUUGGAUUUGUAACCUACUAGACUGUGAGAAAAUAAAUUUCUCUUUGUUAAAACCAUCCACUUGUGGUAUUUCUGUUAUGGCAGAACUAGAUAACUAAGACAGGCUCAAACAUAGCAACGAUUACCAGGAUGGCACAGGACUGAGCAGUGUUUUGUUCUGUUGCACAUAGCGUCACUAAGAGUUGGAAUCAACUCAACAGCAUCUAAAUAACAACAACAACAUUCCAACCGAAAACAAACCAACAACAUAGCCUAAAAAAAAGAACCCUGAUGGAGAGCCUGGUUCAACUAGUGGAGCUGAGAUUAGGAUAACCAGGUGUGGGAAACAUUAUCAAGCAUCAAC